GCUGGGAGUACAGAUCCCCAAAGCAAGCCUCUUACCUGAGCUGUCUGAUCAACCAGCACAGACUCUCUUCUCCUCCUCAGGACACUGCAAAAUUUUGGUUCUAGCUAUAAGGGGAAAUUUUGGAAUGGCUUCACCUGCAGGAACUUCCAAGAGCUAACCCACAGUGCUUCCAGCCACAGUGCUGUUUUAUCCAUGGGAUGAGGAAAAUGGUAGCAGCUUGGCAUUAUGUGUGGAAUCAUAGAAUUGUUUAGGCUGGAAAAGACCUUUAAGAUCAUUGCACCCAACUACUAACCACAUUGCCAAGGUCACCACUAAACCCUGUCC
Long non-coding RNA from Passer montanus (Eurasian tree sparrow), 324 nucleotides. RefSeq lists it as uncharacterized. The transcript is spliced from 2 exons. The record is from RefSeq and is a predicted model, not a curated record. NCBI's taxonomy places the organism in Eukaryota, Metazoa, Chordata, Aves, Passeriformes, Passeridae.